RNAcentral lists this unclassified non-coding RNA (336 nucleotides) under soil metagenome. RNAcentral's name for it is "partial contains 5.8S ribosomal RNA, internal transcribed spacer 2, and large subunit ribosomal RNA". The stretch from base 1 to 120 matches the Rfam family "5.8S ribosomal RNA", at positions 35 to 154 of the family's 154-position model. The record is from RNAcentral.
GAUGAAGAACGUAGUGAAAUGCGAUAAGUAAUGUGAAUUGCAGAAUUCAGUGAAUCAUCGAAUCUUUGAACGCACAUUGUGCCCGCCAGUAUUCUGGCGGGCAUGCCUGUUCGAGCGUCAUUUCAACCAUCAAGCCCCCGGCUUGUGUUGGGGACCUGCGGCUGCCGCAGGCCCUGAAAAGCAGUGGCGGGCUCGCUGUCACACCGAGCGUAGUAGCAUACAUCUCGCUCUGGGCGUGCUGCGGGUUCCGGCCGUUAAACCACCUUCAUAACCCAAGGUUGACCUCGGAUCAGGUAGGAAGACCCGCUGAACUUAAGCAUAUCAAUAAGCGGAGGA